RNAcentral lists this ribosomal RNA (490 nucleotides) under Pasteurellaceae bacterium 'ARUP UnID 152'. Its description in RNAcentral is "bacterial SSU rRNA". It matches the Rfam family "Bacterial small subunit ribosomal RNA", at positions 27 to 506 of the family's 1533-position model. Lineage: Bacteria; Pseudomonadati; Pseudomonadota; Gammaproteobacteria; Pasteurellales; Pasteurellaceae. The record is from RNAcentral.
GAUUGAACGCUGGCGGCAGGCUUAACACAUGCAAGUCGAACGGUAGCAGGAGAAAGCUURCUUUCUUGCUGACGAGUGGCGGACGGGUGAGUAAUGCUUGGGAAUCUGGCUUAUGGAGGGGGAUAACUACUGGAAACGGUAGCUAAUACCGCGUAAUAUCGAGAGAUUAAAGACUGGGACCUACGGGCCAGUUGCCAUAAGAUGAGCCCAAGUGGGAUUAGGUAGUUGGUGGGGUAAAGGCCUACCAAGCCCGCGAUCUCUAGCUGGUCUGAGAGGAUGACCAGCCACACUGGAACUGAGACACGGUCCAGACUCCUACGGGAGGCAGCAGUGGGGAAUAUUGCACAAUGGGGGGAACCCUGAUGCAGCCAUGCCGCGUGAAUGAAGAAGGCCUUCGGGUUGUAAAGUUCUUUCGGUGGUGAGGAAGGUAUCAACUUUAAUAGAGUUGGUAAUUGACGUUAUCCACAGAAGAAGCACCGGCUAACUCCGU